AGCCCAGAGAAAUUUGGAUUAAUACCCCAUAGUAUCAUCGAUUGGCAUCCUUGAUGAUUAAAGAUUUAUCGAUAUAAGAUGGCUAUGCGUUCUAUUAGCUAGUUGGUAUGGUAACGGCAUACCAAGGCUACGAUAGAUAGGGGUCCUGAGAGGGAGAUCCCCCACACUGGUACUGAGACACGGACCAGACUCCUACGGGAGGCAGCAGUGAGGAAUAUUGGACAAUGGAGGCAACUCUGAUCCAGCCAUGCCGCGUGCAGGAAGACUGCCCUAUGGGUUGUAAACUGCUUUUAUAGAGGAAGAAACCCCCCGACGUGUCGGGUCUGACGGUACUCUACGAAUAAGGAUCGGCUAACUCCGUGCCAGCAGCCGCGGUAAUACGGAGGAUCCAAGCGUUAUCCGGAAUCAUUGGGU
RNAcentral lists this ribosomal RNA (414 nucleotides) under uncultured bacterium. RNAcentral describes it as "bacterial SSU rRNA". It matches the Rfam family "Bacterial small subunit ribosomal RNA", at positions 145 to 559 of the family's 1533-position model. The record is from RNAcentral.